Molecule: unclassified non-coding RNA, 401 nt
Filed under: soil metagenome
Description: partial contains 5.8S ribosomal RNA, internal transcribed spacer 2, and large subunit ribosomal RNA
Rfam family: 5.8S ribosomal RNA (bases 1-122)
Source: RNAcentral
GAUGAAGAACGUAGUGAAAUGCGAUACUUGGUAUGAAUUGCAGAAUCCCGUGAACCAUCGAGUCUUUGAACGCAAGUUGCGCCCGAAGCCAUUAGGCCGAGGGCACGCCUGCCUGGGUGUCACACAUCGUUACCCUCGCGCCAACGUCCAGUGUUGGGCACGGCGCAGGGCGUAUGCUGACCUCCCGCGAGCGGGGUCUCGUGGUUGGUUGAAAAUCGAGUUCGCGGUCGAGUGUGCCGUGAUGAAAUGGUGGAUGGGCGACGCCCGAGGCCAAUCCAAUCACGCGCGACUCUGUCCGGCUUGGACUCCUGGACCCCUUGGGCGUCUCCGGACGCUCCCCAGCGAGACCUCAGGUCAGGCGGGGCUACCCGCUGAGUUUAAGCAUAUCAAUAAGCGGAGGA